GAUGAAGAACGUAGCGAAAUGCGAUAAGUAAUGCGAAUUGCAGAAUUCAGUGAGUCAUCGAAUCUUUGAACGCACAUUGCGCCCUUUGGCAUUCCGAAGGGCAUGCCUGUUCGAGCGUCAUUUAUCAACCCUCAAGCCCGGCUUGCGGUUGGGUCCCGCCGUGGGCGACCACGGCGGACCCGAAAGGUAAUGGCGGUGCCCGUGGGGCCCUGGACGCAGCGAGCUUCUCGGCACGCGUCCCGGCGGUCCCCGGCGCCGUCUCCACCAAUCCACCACGCAGAUUGACCUCGGAUCAGGUAGGGAUACCCGCUGAACUUAAGCAUAUCAAUAAGCGGAGGA
This 339-nucleotide unclassified non-coding RNA is filed under the name soil metagenome. Its description in RNAcentral is "partial contains 5.8S ribosomal RNA, internal transcribed spacer 2, and large subunit ribosomal RNA". The stretch from base 1 to 120 matches the Rfam family "5.8S ribosomal RNA", at positions 35 to 154 of the family's 154-position model. The record is from RNAcentral.